Molecule: long non-coding RNA, 858 nt
Organism: Antechinus flavipes (yellow-footed antechinus)
Lineage: Eukaryota; Metazoa; Chordata; Mammalia; Dasyuromorphia; Dasyuridae
Exons: 2
Source: RefSeq, a predicted model, not a curated record
CGGGGCACAGUGAAUACGGGGACGGAGAAGGGAAGUCCGGUCUGCCCCGGGCGGGGCGUAUGUUCAGUCUAGAAACAAAGUUCCCAAACCCCGCGGAGAACAACGCCAAAAAACACGACCGCGAGUGGAGCGUGGAGUGGUCCGAGGACCCGGGGAGGGAAGGAACUUCCCCGAGGGACUUCCUCGGCCUCCAGCCGCCACCUUUCUCCCCUUUUAGCCCCAAAGCCCGGUUUGGGAUGUUAAAUGCGCUUCGGUUUAUGGACAAAUUUUAGGGAGAGAGAGGUAGAGAAGAGCGCUGUGUCCCCACCCCCCAUGUUCAGUGCCGCUGUUUGCGUUUUAAUGCUUGUUUGCUUAUUUUGCCGAAGGAGCCAGCUGGCAGGGACUUACUCCGCAAACCUUUGCUAAAGCGUCUCUGCACAGUUCUGUGCUUUCGAGGCACCGAGACACAAUGUUACCCCUACAUCUGUGGUAUAUGCGAAGAGACAACUUGGAACAAGGUUACAAGCGAGAGUUACGGGGCCCUCAUUAAUCACGCUCUCUUCAACCAAACAGCCCGUCCACCGAUUUCCAGGCUGUAAAUAACUGCGAGAAUUUAACAAUUAGCCCACUCUUCAAUGAGGCUUUCUUCUAGCACACCCCUGUCUAUGAAGUAACUUAAAGAGAAGUCACAGACUCAGAAUUUCUAAGUGUGAAGGAAUUUCAGAGGUCAUCCAGUCUAACUUCAUACCUAAAGUAUGAAUUCCUUUCAUAACAUCUCCAACAGGAAGAACAUAAGUUUCCUGAAGACAAGGACUAUGUCAUUUUGCAACUUCCACCCUGUGAUUCUAUUUCUCACAAGUAAAACAGAUUUGAACCUCU